CCAUUUUCACCCGUGAAGGUCCGGAUUAGAAAUGGUCUUCAGCAACGCAUCCUUUCGAAAGAGGCGACUAACGGGAUUGGAUGGUCAGACUCGCUGACUUGGUUGACACAUGUCAUCGUAUCCCAGUUGCGUAGAUCGAUGCUCUUGCUGUUGGUCAAUGGA
Molecule: long non-coding RNA, 162 nt
Organism: Haliotis rubra (blacklip abalone)
Lineage: Eukaryota; Metazoa; Mollusca; Gastropoda; Lepetellida; Haliotidae
Exons: 3
Source: RefSeq, a predicted model, not a curated record